GAUGAACGCUGGCGGCGUGCCUAAUACAUGCAAGUCGAGCGAACAGACGAGGAGCUUGCUCCUCUGACGUUAGCGGCGGACGGGUGAGUAACACGUGGAUAACCUACCUAUAAGACUGGGAUAACUUCGGGAAACCGGAGCUAAUACCGGAUAAUAUAUUGAACCGCAUGGUUCAAUAGUGAAAGACGGUUUUGCUGUCACUUAUAGAUGGAUCCGCGCCGCAUUAGCUAGUUGGUAAGGUAACGGCUUACAAAGGCAACGAUGCGUAGCCGACCUGAGAGGGUGAUCGGCCACACUGGAACUGAGACACGGUCCAGACUCCUACGGGAGGCAGCAGUAGGGAAUCUUCCGCAAUGGGCGAAAGCUUGACGGAGCAACGCCGCGUGAGUGAUGAAGGUCUUCGGAUCGUAAAACUCUGUUAUUAGGGAAGAACAAAUGUGUAAGUAACUAUGCACGUCUUGACGGUACCUAAUCAGAAAGCCACGGCUAACUACGUG
This 497-nucleotide ribosomal RNA is filed under the name uncultured bacterium. Its description in RNAcentral is "partial 16S ribosomal RNA". It matches the Rfam family "Bacterial small subunit ribosomal RNA", at positions 28 to 507 of the family's 1533-position model. The record is from RNAcentral.